This 1200-nucleotide long non-coding RNA is filed under the name Homo sapiens (human). RNAcentral describes it as "LHRI_LNC1271.7". The record is from RNAcentral. Lineage: Eukaryota; Metazoa; Chordata; Mammalia; Primates; Hominidae.
AAUGCUGAUGCCAGGACCUUGUCCUGCCAGGAAGCCUCUGAUUAGGGCUGUGAACCAACUUCCUUUUCACAUCUGCAAGGACACUUGGAGGCAACUGCCCAAGGCCACUCUGAGGAGGGUUGAAUGUUCUUUAUUAAAAGGACUGAGGAUCAUGUGUGUUGGUGGGCCUUGGACUCUGCUCUAAGCUCAAAUUUUGCAGUUUCUGCUGUCAUCACAGCUGGGAAUGAGAAAGGGAAGGGGCUCCAGUUGGUCUCCCUCUGCCUCUGGAGCACACGUGGAGGACAUGAGGCUUCCGCAGGAACAGCUCUGAAAGCUGAGUUCUCGGGUCCCUGUGAAGGAGGGAAGCUUGCCUGCCUUGGAGCGUGAAAAAGUCUUGCUGGACAGAAGUCUCACGGUUUAAAACUGGGAAGGGAGAGGAUUGAGAUCACACUAGAAUGCACAGAAAAUUCUUAAAACAAAAAAAUGAGAGAAACUUCAUCAGAAUGUGAAAAGAACUAUAAAGCUACAGUGCUGAAGAGAGGGCAAUACUGGCACUAGAAUGAGAAGAUUCAUGGAACACAGUGGAAAAUGCAGUAAGAGAGCUGCAUGAAGCCUCUGAUUAGGGCCCGGAACCAACUUCCUUUUCGCAUCUGCAGACUCAUGGAGGCAACCACUCAAGGCCACUCUGAGAAGGGUUGAACGUGCUUUAAAUUAAAAGGACUGAGGAUCAUGUGUGUUGGUGUGUCCUGGACUCUGCUCUAAGGCCCUGUGGCUGCCUGGUGCCCUGGGAAUGGUCCGGUCAUGGGCCUCAGCCCAGGAUGAGCAGCCAACAAUGCAAUCCCACGAAGAGUGUGCGGAAGGGAGAGGUUACUUCUCAAGAUGGAGCUGCCAAAUAGGGACACUUUGGAGAGUCUGGCCUGAGAACUUUUAGUUUCAAGAAUGUAUUGCUUUGGAAAAGACAGAAUAAAAGUCCAAGCACUGCCACUUAGAGGUUGUAUGUCCUUGGGAAAGUCACUGUACUUGGCAAUUAUAACCUUUACCCUGGAUACACCAUUCAUCUCCUGGGGCCAGGGGUUGUGCCACCUUGUUCAUUUCUAAACUAAAUGAUAUCUAAGCUAGUCUUUACCACAGUUUAAUUCUUACAAUAAUACUCCAAAGGAGAUAUAAUCAACCACAUUUCACAGAUGAGAGAGUUGGAAUCUUAAAAAGGUUAAACUCUUC